AGCUUGCUACCUGACCUAGCGGCGGACGGGUGAGUAAUGCUUAGGAAUCUGCCUAUUAGUGGGGGACAACAUUCCGAAAGGAAUGCUAAUACCGCAUACGCCCUACGGGGGAAAGCAGGGGAUCUUCGGACCUUGCGCUAAUAGAUGAGCCUAAGUCAGAUUAGCUAGUUGGUGGGGUAAAGGCCUACCAAGGCGACGAUCUGUAGCGGGUCUGAGAGGAUGAUCCGCCACACUGGGACUGAGACACGGCCCAGACUCCUACGGGAGGCAGCAGUGGGGAAUAUUGGACAAUGGGCGAAAGCCUGAUCCAGCCAUGCCGCGUGUGUGAAGAAGGCCUUUUGGUUGUAAAGCACUUUAAGCGAGGAGGAGGCUACUUGGAUUAAUACUCUAGGAUAGUGGACGUUACUCGCAGAAUAAGCACCGGCUAACUCUGUGCCAGCAGCCGCGGUAAUACAGAGGGUGCGAGCGUUAAUCGGAUUUACUGGGCGUAAAGCGUGCGUAGGCGGCUUUUUAAGUCGGAUGUGAAAUCCCUGAGCUUAACUUAGGAAUUGCAUUCGAUACUGGGAAGCUAGAGUAUGGGAGAGGAUGGUAGAAUUCCAGGUGUAGCGGUGAAAUGCGUAGAGAUCUGGAGGAAUACCGAUGGCGAAGGCAGCCAUCUGGCCUAAUACUGACGCUGAGGUACGAAAGCAUGGGGAGCAAACAGGAUUAGAUACCCUGGUAGUCCAUGCCGUAAACGAUGUCUACUAGCCGUUGGGGCCUUUGAGGCUUUAGUGGCGCAGCUAACGCGAUAAGUAGACCGCCUGGGGAGUACGGUCGCAAGACUAAAACUCAAAUGAAUUGACGGGGGCCCGCACAAGCGGUGGAGCAUGUGGUUUAAUUCGAUGCAACGCGAAGAACCUUACCUGGUCUUGACAUAGUAAGAACUUUCCAGAGAUGGAUUGGUGCCUUCGGGAACUUACAUACAGGUGCUGCAUGGCUGUCGUCAGCUCGUGUCGUGAGAUGUUGGGUUAAGUCCCGCAACGAGCGCAACCCUUUUCCUUAUUUGCCAGCGGGUUAAGCCGGGAACUUUAAGGAUACUGCCAGUGACAAACUGGAGGAAGGCGGGGACGACGUCAAGUCAUCAUGGCCCUUACGACCAGGGCUACACGCGUGCUACAAUGGUCGGUACAAAGGGUUGCUACCUAGCGAUAGGAUGCUAAUCUCAAAAAGCCGAUCGUAGUCCGGAUUGGAGUCUGCAACUCGACUCCAUGAAG
RNAcentral lists this ribosomal RNA (1253 nucleotides) under uncultured Acinetobacter sp. RNAcentral describes it as "bacterial SSU rRNA". It matches the Rfam family "Bacterial small subunit ribosomal RNA", at positions 77 to 1325 of the family's 1533-position model. Lineage: Bacteria; Pseudomonadati; Pseudomonadota; Gammaproteobacteria; Moraxellales; Moraxellaceae. The record is from RNAcentral.